CGCAAGCGUUGUUCGGAUUUACUGGGCGUAAAGCGUCCGUAGGUGGUUUGUUAAGUCAGGGGUGAAAUCCUGGGGCUCAACCCCAGAAUUGCCUUUGAUACUGGCAGGCUGGAGCAUGAUAGAGGAAAAUGGAAUAUCUGGUGUAGGGGUGAAAUCCGUAGAUAUCAGAUAGAACACCAAUGGCGAAGGCAGUUUUCUGGAUCAUUGCUGACACUGAGGGACGAAAGCGUGGGGAGCGAACAGAAUUAGAUACUCUGGUAGUCCACGCCCUAAACGAUGCAUGCUUGUUGUUGGUUUUCUUCGGAGAAUCAGUGACGUAGCUAACGCGUUAAGCAUGCCGCCUGGGGAGUACGAUCGCAAGAUUAAAACUUAAAGGAAUUGACGGGGACCCGCACAAGCGGUGGAGUAUGUUGUUUAAUUCGAUGCUACGCGAGAAACCUUACCGACCUUUGACAUUGUGAUCGCGAUUUCCAGAGAUGGAUUUCUUCAAUUCGGUUGGAUCAUGAACAGAUGCUGCAUGGCUGUCGUCAGCUCGUGUCGUGAGAUGUUAGGUUAAGUCCUGCAACGAGCGCAACCCACGCCUUAUGUUGCCAGCGGGUAAUGCCGGGAACUCUUAAGGGACUGCCUGCGUCAAGCAGGAGGAAGGUGUGGAUGAUGUCAAGUCAUCAUGGUUCUUACGGGUCGGGCUACAAACGUACUACAAUGGCGUCAACAAUGGGUCGCUAUGCUGUGAAGCAAAGCUAAUCCUUAAAUGUCGCCCCAGUUCAGAUUGUUCUCUGCAACUCGAGAACAUGAAGUUGGAAUCGCUAGUAAUCGCUGAUCAGAAUGCAGCGGUGAAUACGUUCCCGGGUCUUGUACACACCGCCUGUCAAACCAUGAGAGUCGAUUUCGCCCAAAGUCGGUAGUCUAACGCAAGGGGACGCCGCCUACGGUGGGAUUGGUGAUUGGGGUUAAGUCAUAACAAGGUAGCAGUA
RNAcentral lists this ribosomal RNA (974 nucleotides) under uncultured bacterium. Its description in RNAcentral is "bacterial SSU rRNA". It matches the Rfam family "Bacterial small subunit ribosomal RNA", at positions 533 to 1504 of the family's 1533-position model. The record is from RNAcentral.